UGCUCAACCACUGAGCCACCCAGGUGCCCCUGUCCUUUUUCAUUUUAUUGCUUUUCUGUUUCAUCCUCUAUGAGUAAGAAAGAAAAACUCCAAGGACUCUAGACUAAUCUGCAAAUUGCAUAUGGAGAGAUUUGGUAAUUGUGAAGCCCUGAGUAGGGAUGUGGGGUAUUGAUUCAGGAGAAGCAGCUGUAAAAGAGUUUAAAAUAAAUACCAGCAAUUCCUGCUUCUUUUUACCCCAGCCUCACUGUGGGUGAAUUCAUUCCAGAUAGACUGCAGAAGCUGUCUCUGGGGGCAAGAAGAAAGAUCUGCCCAUGGCUUAUUUGUGUUAUAUAGGACGCUACUUGUGGAAUGAGGCUAGGGGAACAACUUGUCCAACUCUCUCUCUUGCCCUGAACACUUAUUAAAAGAGCCAAAAGGAAAUGUAAGAAAAAGCAAGAGCACCAUUGGAAAAAGAACAGAGCAGCAUCAGUGGUGAAAGAACUGUCCCAUCAGUUACCUUGGGAAGAUGUGAACUAGAGUCAGAUGUGAAAGCAUAGAUCCCUGAGAAGUGACGGGAUGGCUCCCCUGAACAGAACACUGGAAGAUGCCCAGCUUUAGAGGGGCAGGAGCUAUAGCAAGCUUGGGUAGAAAUGAGGGGGUGGGAAGAACUUAGUUUCAAGAGCCCACCAGUUACUCUUGCAUGGAAUGGCUGGCUCCGUUACUAGUCUCCAGACUGUGCCCACUCAAAUAAAUAUGGCCCAGGGGAUGACAGCUCAGCCUCAGGAGCCAGACUGGCUGGGCUUAUAAUCUUGGCUAUGCAAUUUGGUAGCAAGUUUACAUAUGUGUAUAUUAUUGUCAAAGUUGACUGGAAGAUUUUCCAGGGGGGGUUCAUAACCUGGGCAACAGGGCAGAGCCACAGGUAACUUAGGACCACUACUGUAAACCCCAAAGGAGGCUUAGAAGGCAUUAGGGACCUACCUCGUAUAGUUCUCUGUCUCGUGGAAUAAAUGGUAAAUAUAGGUCCCAAAACGCAGAUGUCCCAGUCAUGCUUGCAAGCAGAUGCAGGAACAGUGGGUAGCGCUGGCAAUUCUGGGCAGCAAGCCAGGGUACAGAGUUGUGGGCACAAGCAGGACUCCCUCCUUUACUCAGUGCGGGCAGUUUACCAAGACAGGCAGGACCUUGUGUCCUGAGUAUUUCCAAAGCUGCCACCGUGUACCUAAGGAGUGACAGCUUCCUAAUCUGUUCCCAAUAAUCCUUCAUUUGUCUUAGUCUCACCUGCUCAUCUUGCAAACCGGUUUUUAAGGAUGGAACCCUGAAGGGAAGGCCGCCUGUCUAACAUCUAUUAGCUCACCGUUCAGAAGCGUGAGCAAAUAAUGAGGAACCUGCUAUGAAAAGCAUGUAAUGCACCAGUGCUACUCAACAUGUCGUGUGUGAUGAUCUCAUAGCAGCUGACCAAAAUAGAAUCAAGGCUCUCCAGGUCAUGGGAUCGAACCCCAUGUCAGGCUCCAUGAUGGAUGUGGACCAUGAUUGGGAUUCUCUCUCUCCCUCUGCCUACACCACACCCCCUCCUCACCAGGGGUACAUAUGAUCUCUGUCUGUCUGUCUCUCUCUCAAAAAAGAAAAAAAGAUAAAAAAAGGAAAGAAAUAAAAGAAGAAAUCAAGGUA
Long non-coding RNA from Canis lupus familiaris (dog), 1644 nucleotides. RefSeq lists it as uncharacterized. Lineage: Eukaryota; Metazoa; Chordata; Mammalia; Carnivora; Canidae. The record is from RefSeq and is a predicted model, not a curated record. The transcript has 2 exons.